GACGAACGCUGGCGGCGUGCUUAACACAUGCAAGUCGAACGGAAAGGCCCUGCUUUUGUGGGGUGCUCGAGUGGCGAACGGGUGAGUAACACGUGAGUAACCUGCCCUUGACUUUGGGAUAACUUCAGGAAACUGGGGCUAAUCCCAUAUAGGAGCUCCUGCUGCAUGGUGGGGGUUGGAAAGUUUCGGCGGGUGGGGAUGGACUCGCGGCUUAUCAGCUUGCUGGUGGGGGAGGUGCUUACCAAGGCUGUGGCGGAUCGCCGGCCUGAGAGGGUGAACGGGCACAUUGGGCCUGGGAUACGGCCCAGACUCCUACGGGAGGCAACAGUGGGGAAUAUUACACAAUAGGCCGACGCCUGAUGGAGAAACCCUCCGUGCGGGAUGACGGCCUUUGGGUUGUAAACAGCUUUCGCCUAUGACGAAGCGUGUGUGACGGUAAUGGGUAAAGAAGCACCGGCUAACUACGUG
RNAcentral lists this ribosomal RNA (468 nucleotides) under uncultured bacterium. RNAcentral's name for it is "partial 16S ribosomal RNA". It matches the Rfam family "Bacterial small subunit ribosomal RNA", at positions 28 to 507 of the family's 1533-position model. The record is from RNAcentral.